RNAcentral lists this ribosomal RNA (497 nucleotides) under uncultured bacterium. RNAcentral's name for it is "partial 16S ribosomal RNA". It matches the Rfam family "Bacterial small subunit ribosomal RNA", at positions 28 to 507 of the family's 1533-position model. The record is from RNAcentral.
GAUGAACGCUGGCGGCGUGCCUAAUACAUGCAAGUCGAGCGAACAGACGAGGAGCUUGCUCCUCUGACGUUAGCGGCGGACGGGUGAGUAACACGUGGAUAACCUACCUAUAAGACUGGGAUAACUUCGGGAAACCGGAGCUAAUACCGUAUAAUAUAUUGAACCUCAUGGUUCAAUAGUGAAAGACGGUUUUGCUGUCACUUAUAGAUGGAUCCGCGCCGCAUUAGCUAGUUGGUAAGGUAACGGCUUACCAAGGCAACGAUGCGUAGCCGACCUGAGAGGGUGAUCGGCAACACUGGAACUGAGACACGGUCCAGACUCCUACGGGAGGCAGCAGUAGGGAAUCUUCCGCAAUGGGCGAAAGCCUGACGGAGCAACGCCGCGUGAGUGAUGAAGGUCUUCGGAUCGUAAAACUCUGUUAUUAGGGAAGAACAAAUGUGUAAGUAACUAUGCACGUCUUGACGGUACCUAAUCAGAAAGCCACGGCUAACUACGUG